Molecule: microRNA precursor, 61 nt
Filed under: Anolis carolinensis (green anole)
Lineage: Eukaryota; Metazoa; Chordata; Lepidosauria; Squamata; Anolidae
Also listed under: 1 other name
Description: Aca-Mir-1-P3_pre stem-loop
Rfam family: mir-1 microRNA precursor family
About the family: This family represents the microRNA (miRNA) mir-1 family. miRNAs are transcribed as ~70nt precursors (modelled here) and subsequently processed by the Dicer enzyme to give a ~22nt product.
Source: RNAcentral
ACAUACUUCUUUAUAUGCCCAUAUGAACCUGGCAAACUAUGGAAUGUAAAGAAGUAUGUAU